AAUCCUCAACCCCGUCGGUCAGUCGGGGCUUGGACUUUGGAGUGUGCUGGCGAAGGUCGGCUCCUCUUUAAAUGCAUCAGCGGAGAAAAACCUUUUUCCCCCUUCAGUAUGAUAACUGCGUUGCGCUGUGGUCGUGAAAGGGUCUUCCCAUAAUCGUCCUCUGGGACAAACACCAAAUCUG
RNAcentral lists this unclassified non-coding RNA (181 nucleotides) under uncultured Tylospora. RNAcentral's name for it is "sequence contains ITS2". The record is from RNAcentral. Lineage: Eukaryota; Fungi; Basidiomycota; Agaricomycetes; Atheliales; Atheliaceae.